UACGUAGGGUGCAAGCGUUGUCCGGAAUUAUUGGGCGUAAAGAGCGUGUAGGCGGCCCGAUUAGUCCGCUGUGAAAGUCCAGGGCUCAACCCUGGAAUGCCGGUGGAAACUGUCGGGCUAGAGUCCGGAAGGGGCGAGUGGAAUUCCUGGUGUAGCGGUGAAAUGCGCAGAUAUCAGGAGGAACACCAAUGGCGAAAGCGGCUUCCUGGUCCAGCACCGACGUUCAGGCACGAAAGCGUGGGGAGCAAACAGG
Molecule: ribosomal RNA, 253 nt
Filed under: uncultured bacterium
Lineage: Bacteria
Description: partial 16S ribosomal RNA
Rfam family: Bacterial small subunit ribosomal RNA
Source: RNAcentral